UACGGAGGGUGCAAGCGUUGUCCGGAUUUAUUGGGUUUAAAGGGUGCGUAGGCGGCAGAUUAAGUCAAGCGGUGAAAUUCCACAGCUCAACUGUGGAACUGCCAUUGAUACUGGUUUGCUUGAGUACAGAUGAGGUAGGCGGAAUUGACAGUGUAGCGGAUGAAAUGCGUAGAUAUCGGGAGGAACACCAGUGGCGAAGGCGGCUAUCUGGAUCAACACUGACACUGAGGCACAAAAGCG
This 240-nucleotide ribosomal RNA is filed under the name uncultured bacterium. RNAcentral describes it as "partial 16S ribosomal RNA". It matches the Rfam family "Bacterial small subunit ribosomal RNA", at positions 524 to 761 of the family's 1533-position model. The record is from RNAcentral.